RNAcentral lists this ribosomal RNA (1516 nucleotides) under Francisella orientalis. Its description in RNAcentral is "Francisella noatunensis subsp. orientalis 16S ribosomal RNA". It matches the Rfam family "Bacterial small subunit ribosomal RNA". Lineage: Bacteria; Pseudomonadati; Pseudomonadota; Gammaproteobacteria; Thiotrichales; Francisellaceae. The record is from RNAcentral.
AGAGUUUGAUCCUGGCUCAGAUUGAACGCUGGUGGCAUGCUUAACACAUGCAAGUCGAACGGUAACAGGUCUUCGGAUGCUGACGAGUGGCGGACGGGUGAGUAACGCGUAGGAAUCUGCCAUCUGUGGGGGAUACCAGUUGGAAACGACUGUUAAUACCGCAUAAUAUCUGCGGAUUAAAGGUGGCCUUUGCGCUGCCGCAGAUGGAUGAGCCUGCGUUGGAUUAGCUAGUUGGUGGGGUAAGGGCCUACCAAGGCUACGAUCCAUAGCUGAUUUGAGAGGAUGAUCAGCCACAUUGGGACUGAGACACGGCCCAAACUCCUACGGGAGGCAGCAGUGGGGAAUAUUGGACAAUGGGGGAAACCCUGAUCCAGCAAUGCCAUGUGUGUGAAGAAGGCUCUAGGGUUGUAAAGCACUUUAGUUGGGGAGGAAAGCCUGUGAGUUAAUAGCUUGCAGGAAGGACGUUGCCCAAAGAAUAAGGACCGGCUAACUCCGUGCCAGCAGCCGCGGUAAUACGGGGGGUCCGAGCGUUAAUCGGAAUUACUGGGCGUAAAGGGUCUGUAGGUGGUUUGUUAAGUCAGAUGUGAAAGCCCAGGGCUCAACCUUGGAACUGCAUUUGAUACUGACAAACUAGAGUAUGGUAGAGGAAUAGGGAACUUCUGGUGUAGCGGUGAAAUGCGUAGAGAUCAGAAGGAACACCAAUGGCGAAGGCAACAUUCUGGACCAAUACUGACACUGAGGGACGAAAGCGUGGGGAUCAAACAGGAUUAGAUACCCUGGUAGUCCACGCUGUAAACGAUGAGUACUAGCUGUUGGAUUCGGUGUAAAGGAUCUAGUGGCGCAGCUAACGCGUUAAGUACUCCGCCUGGGGACUACGGCCGCAAGGCUAAAACUCAAAGGAAUUGACGGGGACCCGCACAAGCGGUGGAGCAUGUGGGUUUAAUUCGAUGCAACGCGAAGAACCUUACCUGGUCUUGACAUCCUGCGAACUUUCUAGAGAUAGAUUGGUGCCUUCGGGAACGCAGUGACAGGUGCUGCACGGCUGUCGUCAGCUCGUGUUGUGAAAUGUUGGGUUAAGUCCCGCAACGAGCGCAACCCCUAUUGAUAGUUACCAUCAUUAAGUUGGGUACUCUAUUGAGACUGCCGCUGACAAGGCGGAGGAAGGUGGGGACGACGUCAAGUCAUCAUGGCCCUUACGACCAGGGCUACACACGUGCUACAAUGGGUAUUACAGAGGGCUGCGAAGGUGCGAGCUGGAGCGAAACUCAGAAAGGUACUCUUAGUCCGGAUUGCAGUCUGCAACUCGACUGCAUGAAGUCGGAAUCGCUAGUAAUCGCAGGUCAGAAUACUGCGGUGAAUACGUUCCCGGGUCUUGUACACACCGCCCGUCACACCAUGGGAGUGGGUUGCUCCAGAAGUAGAUAGCUUAACGAAUGGGCGUUUACCACGGAGUGAUUCAUAACUGGGGUGAAGUCGUAACAAGGUAGCCGUAGGGGAACCUGCGGCUGGAUCACCU